UACGUAGGGUGCAAGCGUUAAUCGGAAUUACUGGGCGUAAAGCGUGCGCAGGCGGCUUUGUAAGACAGAUGUGAAAUCCCCGGGCUUAACCUGGGAACUGCAUUUGUGACUGCAUGGCUGGAGUGCGGCAGAGGGAGGUAGAAUUCCACGUGUAGCAGUGAAAUGCGUAGAGAUGUGGAGGAAUACCGAUGGCGAAGGCAGCCUCCUGGGCCAACACUGACGCUCAUGCACGAAAGCGUGGGGAGCAAACAGG
Molecule: ribosomal RNA, 253 nt
Filed under: uncultured bacterium
Lineage: Bacteria
Description: partial 16S ribosomal RNA
Rfam family: Bacterial small subunit ribosomal RNA
Source: RNAcentral